RNAcentral lists this ribosomal RNA (459 nucleotides) under uncultured bacterium. RNAcentral describes it as "partial 16S ribosomal RNA". It matches the Rfam family "Bacterial small subunit ribosomal RNA", at positions 338 to 795 of the family's 1533-position model. The record is from RNAcentral.
CCUACGGGAGGCAGCAGUGAGGAAUAUUGGUCAAUGGGCGCGAGCCUGAACCAGCCAAGUCGCGUGAGGGAAGACGGUCCUAUGGAUUGUAAACCUCUUUUGUCGGGGAGCAAAAGACGCCACGCGUGGCGUUCCGAGAGUACCCGAAGAAAAAGCAUCGGCUAACUCCGUGCCAGCCGCCGCGGUAAUACGGAGGAUGCGAGCGUUAUCCGGAUUUAUUGGGUUUAAAGGGUGCGCAGGCGGAAGAGCAAGUCAGCGGUAAAAUUGAGAGGCUCAACCUCUUCGAGCCGUUGAAACUGGUUUUCUUGAGUGAGUGAGAAGUAUGCGGAAUGCGUGGUGUAGCGGUGAAAUGCAUAGAUAUCACGCAGAACUCCGAUUGCGAAGGCAGCAUACCGGCGCUCAACUGACGCUCAUGCACGAAAGUGUGGGUAUCGAACAGGAUUAGAUACCCUGGUAGUC